RNAcentral lists this ribosomal RNA (900 nucleotides) under uncultured organism. RNAcentral describes it as "bacterial SSU rRNA". It matches the Rfam family "Bacterial small subunit ribosomal RNA", at positions 527 to 1439 of the family's 1533-position model. The record is from RNAcentral.
GUAGGAGGCGAGCGUUAUCCGGAUUUACUGGGUGUAAAGCGCGUGCAGGCGGUCGAGUAAGUCGAGCGUGAAAGCUCCCGGCUCAACCGGGAGAGGACGUGCGAAACUGCUGGGCUGGAGGCAGGUAGAGGCGUGUGGAAUUCCGGGUGUAGUGGUGAAAUGCGUAGAUAUCCGGAGGAACACCGGUGGCGAAGGCGACACGCUGGGCCUGACCUGACGCUAAGACGCGAAAGCAUGGGUAGCGAACGGGAUUAGAAACCCCGGUAGUCCAUGCCGUAAACGAUGCAGACUAGGUGUUGAGCGUGUGAAAGCGAGCAGUGCCGAAGCAAACGUGAUAAGUCUGCCACCUGGGGACUACGGCCGCAAGGCUAAAACUCAAAGGAAUUGACGGGGGCCCGCACAAGCAGCGGAGCGUGUGGUUUAAUUCGAGGCUACACGAAGAACCUUACCUGGGCUUGACAUGACGGUUGUAGGGAAUCGAAAGAGGACCGACCCUUCGGGGAGCCGCCACAGGUGCUGCAUGGCUGUCGUCAGCUCGUGUCGUGAGAUGUUCGGUUAAGUCCGGUAACGAGCGCAACCCUCGCCGUUAGUUACAAGUGUCUAGCGGGACUGCCCGUAGAAAGCGGGAGGAAGGUGGGGAUGACGUCAAGUCAGCAUGGCCUUUAUGUCUAGGGCUACACACACGCUACAAUGGCCGGUACAAUGGGUCGCCAACCCGCGAGGGGGAGCUAAUCCACCAAAGCCGGUCUCAGUUCGGAUUGUAGGCUGCAACUCGCCUGCAUGAAGUCGGAGUUGCUAGUAACCGCAGGUCAGCUAUACUGCGGUGAUACGUUCCCGGGCCUUGUACACACCGCCCGUCACGUCACGGAAGCUGGUCAUGCCUGAAGUCGGUGGGCUAAC